AGAGUUUGAUCCUGGCUCAGGACGAACGCUGGCGGUGUGCUUCACACACGCAAGUCGAACGGGGUAGCAAUACCCAGUGGCGGACGGGUGAGUAACACGUGGGAAUCUGCCUUGAGAUGGGGGAUAGCAGACCGAAAGGUCUAUUAAUACCGCAUAUGUGUAUGUCUCGACAGGGGCAUACAUGAAAGGAGCAAUCCGUCUUAAGAUGAGCCCGCGUCCGAUUAGCUAGUUGGUAGGGUAAUGGCCUACCAAGGCGACGAUCGGUAGGUGGUCUGAGAGGAUGAUCACCCACAAUGGGACUGAGACACGGCCCAUACUCCUACGGGAGGCAGCAGUGGGGAAUUUUGUGCAAUGGGCGAAAGCCUGACACAGCGACACCGCGUGAGCGAAGAAGCCCUUUGGGGUGUAAAGCUCUGUCAGCUGGAACGAAACAAAUGACGGUACCAGCAGAGGAAGCAUCGGCUAACUACGUGCCAGCAGCCGCGGUAAGACGUAGGAUGCGAGCGUUGUCCGGAUUUAUUGGGCGUAAAGAGUUCGUAGGUGGUUUGUUAAGUUCGAUGUUAAAGAUCGAGGCUCAACCUCGGGAGUGCAUUGAAUACUGGCAGACUUGAGUGCGGUAGAGGCUAGUGGAAUUCCCAGUGUAGCGGUGAAAUGCGUAGA
This 660-nucleotide ribosomal RNA is filed under the name uncultured bacterium. RNAcentral describes it as "bacterial SSU rRNA". It matches the Rfam family "Bacterial small subunit ribosomal RNA", at positions 8 to 694 of the family's 1533-position model. The record is from RNAcentral.